Molecule: long non-coding RNA, 1166 nt
Filed under: Struthio camelus australis
Lineage: Eukaryota; Metazoa; Chordata; Aves; Struthioniformes; Struthionidae
Description: lncRNA (ENSSCUG00000000122.1)
Source: RNAcentral
CAGGCGUUGUUUUCCUCGGAGAACGGAGGAGGAGGAGGAGGAGGAGGAAAUCUCCGGGUUUUUAAUGAGGGGGUGCAGCAGGGCUGAGCGCUGGGAUUACACGGCGCGGAGACAGAGCUGCGGGCUGUGUGUGCGCGCAGGGCUGGUAGUCUCCGCCUGUCUGCCUGCUAAUCGCACGUUUUCCGCUGUUAAAAAGAAACCGAGACGCUGUGGCCGAGCCCAGCGCUGUCUCUGCGACUGUGACAUGAAAAGAUGGCGCUCUCUCCCCUCCCCCAGCCUCCCUCUCGGCUUACACUUCCUCCCCAACAGCUUUUGCCUUCCAGUUUUUUAAAGCCCUCUUUUCUGCUUUCCUUCCCCCCCUCCCCCCCGGCCGGAUACCGCGAGCUUCCCAGCCGAUCGGGAUAUUAAGGAAGUUGGUGCCGUGUCUUGAAAACUACUCCCGUAUAAGAAAAACAUUCUGAUCUGCUAAAAGACCAUUCGCUGGAGGCCAUUUUAUGAAACCUCAAGAAGGACAUGUGCUCUGGGAGCAGUGGCCUCGAAGACCCACAGCAAGUAAGCCUGCAGAUGAAGCUAGGACCUUGCCUGCCUCCGUGUACCACCGGAAUGGCUCUCCCUGUCAUCCGCGGUGAGAGCAGCAACGAGAGACCGAGAGGAAACACGCUGCUGCUGUGCAAAAUGUGGACCAUGUGUGGGAACUAUUUACUCAGAGUGCAACUGCAGGCACCAGGCGAGGGGCUGGCAGAGCCGGGGGGCGGUGGAGAGAGAGGCUACGUCUCUCUCUCUCUCUUUUUUUUCGUCUUCCCUAAAGCCAAACACGUCGCUGUGUGUGUAACGGUGCGUUUUACUGACUUCUCGCUGGGCGCGUGUUGGGUUUUUUUAGUCCAAGGCUUUCGCGAUCUGCUUUUGUGCUCAUCCACCCCAAGCCUUUGCGGGCAAAGGGUUAAAUCUUCGGAGCCCUGGAAAGAAGCAGCUGAGUUUAAAAAAAAAAAAAAAAAGAAGAAAGAAAGAAAAGAAAAAAGGGGAGAGAAGAAAGACAUGGGAGCGAGAGGAAGAAGCGGGGAGAGAGAGAUGCAUGGUCCCCUGAUUGUCCCUUUGGCUGCUGUAGAAUAAUAAAAAUAAUUAAUAACAAUAAUAAUCCUCAGCUUUUCUUUUCCAUUUGGUUGUAU